This 981-nucleotide long non-coding RNA is filed under the name Octopus vulgaris (common octopus). Lineage: Eukaryota; Metazoa; Mollusca; Cephalopoda; Octopoda; Octopodidae. The record is from RNAcentral.
CGAUAAUUCCUGAAAGCGUGGAACAAUUGAAAGUAGUUUUGUAUUUACUGUUAUUCUUAAUUCUGUUGAUCACAUUUUCUGUUUUUGAAUUUUGUGGUGUUCCUGAAUUCAUUCUAAGUGCAUCAAACGAAAAUCCAUAAAAUAAGUCUUUUAGUUUCAAAAGAGAUAUAUGUUUAAGAACCUGGCUAAAGCAUAUAAAAUCGUAUGUAUUGUUAAUUAUAACUGCUUUCAGAAAUAAAUUACGGAAAAUUCACAGGUGAGAUUUUAAAGUAUUUCAUAAAAAUUCAACACCUGAAAUGUUUUCUUAUGUUUACAGAUGCCUGCAAUGUUUACAGAUGUUAUUGAUGCCUACAAACCAAUUAUUAAAUUCUCGUAAAACAAUAUUAAGCUGAAACAAUGAAUUUUCCCUACACAUCCCACACCGUUGCUUAUAAGUAAACCAUUUUUAUUUUCAAAUUUUAAAAUUAUUUAAAUUUUCUUUGUUUUUCUGCUUUUAGUUUUUUUUUAUUUAAUCUGCCAAAACAAAAAUAUUGUUUACCUAUCGUGUCUGCGCACGUGUUAAUCGUAACUGCCGUUGUAAAAUUAUACACUCUUAAUGUCUCUUUAAUUGAUGUCAGUAAAACUUUUCAAUUCCGUAUCGCAUUAUGUGACCCGCCUCUCGGCUACAUACAUCCCUUGGACCCAAGGGAGGGUCUUGCAAUAUCAGUCUUUCCCCUCCCUCAAACAAUUUGUAUCUACCUCAUUUUAAACGGCUCUUUUAUUAAUAACCUAAACGUUGUCCCCAUUCACUACACCUCAUUUCUCUCACAUUUCUUAAAUAAGCUUCGUAUAUAUCUUAUUACGACAGAGACUUUGGAAACGUACUUGAAUGGGAACUUGGAAACUUGUAACAUCGCCAACAGCACAGAUGCCUACAAACCAGUUAUUAAGUUCUCGUAAAAAAAUAUUUAGCUGAAACUAUGAAUUUUCCCUACACAUCCC